CCCUAUAAGAGUAGCAACCUUGAGGUGCUCACCGCUACUUGUGGAGAGUAAUCUCUUCUCCAGCGAGAGGUUCCGUGUGGAGAUCCCGUGUGAGAGUAAUUUCUUCUCAAGCGAUGAUGCAUCCCCCACUGCUUGUGGAGGAAGACACCGCUGCCAAUAAGGUGCUCACCAAUGACGACCUUCUAGGUGAGAUCCUUCCGCGCAUCCACUGCCCAUCUUGCCUUGUUUGUGCCGCGCUCACCAGCAAGAGGUGGCUCCGCAACGUCUCCAGUGAGACCACCAUCCGCCGCUUCCGUUCACGGAUGCCAUCCCAACUACUCGGGGUCUACGUCUCCAUUGAUGGCUUCUCUAACCCGAAGUUCGUGUCGCUACCUGAUGCUUCAAGGCCUGAGCACGCAGCUGCACUCCGUCAUGGUAAUUUUAGUUUUGAUGACAUGGAUUGUCCAUUGCUGACUAUUUGGGAUUGCCGCAAUGACCGUGUCCUCUAUGGAUUCAGUGAAUCCUUUCAUGUUGCUUUUGACCCUGCUGUGAGGGCACCACUACGGUGCCCCGGAGAAGACACGGUCAUGCUCCCUCCACAACCAUCCACAACCUGGCCCAAUUGUCCUCACGCUAUGCUCCUUCCUGAUGAGGACAAUGAUGACUCCUCAUGUUAUUGUGUCGACAUCGUCAACAAGGACCAGACAGUCCACGCGAAGGUAUUUGUCCUACGGGCUGGCUCCUGGACCGUUCACUUCUCAGCCAUGGCAGAUCUUGCCAAGUCUCCACAGGAGAUCCUGACGAUGACUCUGCUCAUGCGUGGCAAGAUUUACAUGCUGACCAUGGCAGGAUACAUCCUUACACUGGAUCUAGCCACCACAAGAUUUUCUAUUGUUGAUCCCCCUAGAGGUGUGGAAUUUGAGUACACCGGCAACCUUGUCCCUUGCCGGGGAGAUGACUCUGUUCUACCUCUUAAAUGUGAAGGGGGACAAGCUUACUGUCUGGUUCCAGAGGAUGGAUGACCACAGCAGCGUUGGAAGCCGCCCUGGCGAGUGGCAACUCAGGGACACCAUUUCCCUACUUGAAGCAUGUGGCCAUCUCAUGCAGCAGGGUGGGGACCCAAUAGAUGGGCAGGAGCGGGAGGAGGGCGUUGUGUCGAUUGUCGGCGUCGGGGACAAUGCUAGGUUCGUGUUCUUGGAGUUUGAAGAAACUGGUGUCAUAGCGUACAUGCAUCUCAAGACCAGAAAGGUGAAGAAGGUAUACCAAAGGCACCCAGACAACGAUUUCGCUAUAAGUGUUCUUCCGUUCAUGAUGGUCUGCCCUGUCAUCUUCCCAGAACUAGGUGCAAAUGAAGGUGAAGGAUUGCAGCAAGAGUAGACGUCCUAGAGUUUAUAUUUACUUUCUUUAAUCUGAAUAAGCUAUUUUAUAGACACAGGAGGCAGAAAUGGAGCCAUGGGCAUUGUGUGAUUUCUGUUCUCAUCUUUGAACAGCUUUGCUUUACUCUGGUGCUCAUUAAGAGUUAAGACUUAUUCAGCUGCAUUAACAAUCAUGGUAUAUAUUCGUUUGCAUUCCCUAAUUCGUCC
Panicum virgatum (switchgrass) is the source of this 1562-nucleotide RNA transcript. RefSeq lists it as uncharacterized. The record is from RefSeq and is a predicted model, not a curated record. The transcript has a single exon. Lineage: Eukaryota; Viridiplantae; Streptophyta; Magnoliopsida; Poales; Poaceae.